This 352-nucleotide unclassified non-coding RNA is filed under the name soil metagenome. RNAcentral's name for it is "partial contains 5.8S ribosomal RNA, internal transcribed spacer 2, and large subunit ribosomal RNA". The stretch from base 1 to 120 matches the Rfam family "5.8S ribosomal RNA", at positions 35 to 154 of the family's 154-position model. The record is from RNAcentral.
GAUGAAGAACGCAGCGAAAUGCGAUAAGUAAUGUGAAUUGCAGAAUUCAGUGAAUCAUCGAAUCUUUGAACGCACAUUGCGCCCGCCAGUAUUCUGGCGGGCAUGCCUGUUCGAGCGUCAUUACAACCCUCAGGCCCCCGGGCCUGGCGUUGGGGAUCGGCGGAGCCCCCCGUGGGCACACGCCGUCCCCCAAAUACAGUGGCGGUCCCGCCGCAGCUUCCAUCGCGUAGUAGCUAACACCUCGCGACUGGAGAGCGGCGCGGCCACGCCGUAAAACACCCAACUCUUCUGAAGUUGACCUCGAAUCAGGUAGGAAUACCCGCUGAACUUAAGCAUAUUAAUAAGCGGAGGA